RNAcentral lists this transfer RNA (91 nucleotides) under Abditibacteriota bacterium. RNAcentral describes it as "tRNA-Leu(aag)". The record is from RNAcentral. Lineage: Bacteria; Pseudomonadati; Abditibacteriota.
UUCAAGCGGGUUUCGGUUAAAGUUUUCCCCAAGAGGGAAAAGUUGGGCGAGAGAUGAGCGCGCCACGUCCGUGCGCUGCCGAUUUUUGGAG